CGAGGGGAGUGAAAAAGAACCUGAAACCGUGUACGUACAAGCAGUGGGAGCACAGGUUUACCUGUGUGACUGCGUACCUUUUGUAUAAUGGGUCAGCGACUUAUAUUCUGUAGCAAGGUUAACCGAAUAGGGGAGCCGGAGGGAAACCGAGUCUUAAUUGGGCGUUAAGUUGCAGGGUAUAGACCCGAAACCCGGUGAUCUAGCCAUGGGCAGGUUGAAGGUUGGGUAACACUAACUGGAGGACCGAACCGACUAAUGUUGAAAAAUUAGCGGAUGACCUGUGGCUGGGGGUGAAAGGCCAAUCAAACCGGGAGAUAGCUGGUUCUCCCCGAAAGCUAUUUAGGUAGCGCCUCGUGAAUUCAUCUCCGGGGGUAGAGCACUGUUUCGGCUAGGGGGCCAUCCCGGCUUACCAACCCGAUGCAAACUGCGAAUACCGGAGAAUGUUAUCACGGGAGACACACGGCGGGUGCUAACGUCCGUCGUGAAGAGGGAAACAACCCAGACCGCCAGCUAAGGUCCCAAAGUCAUGGUUAAGUGGGAAACGAUGUGGGAAGGCCCAGACAGCCAGGAUGUUGGCUUAGAAGCAGCCAUCAUUUAAAGAAAGCGUAAUAGCUCACUGGUCGAGUCGGCCUGCGCGGAAGAUGUAACGGGGCUAAACCAUGCACCGAAG
Molecule: ribosomal RNA, 670 nt
Filed under: Salmonella enterica subsp. enterica
Lineage: Bacteria; Pseudomonadati; Pseudomonadota; Gammaproteobacteria; Enterobacterales; Enterobacteriaceae
Description: partial 23S ribosomal RNA
Rfam family: Bacterial large subunit ribosomal RNA
Source: RNAcentral